Molecule: ribosomal RNA, 254 nt
Filed under: uncultured bacterium
Lineage: Bacteria
Description: partial 16S ribosomal RNA
Rfam family: Bacterial small subunit ribosomal RNA
Source: RNAcentral
UACAGAGGGGGCAAGCGUUAUUCGGAAUUAUUGGGCGUAAAGAGCUCGUAGGCGGUGUGUCGCGUCGGCCGUGAAAACCUGCAGCUUAACUGUGGGCGUGCGGUCGAUACGGGCAUCACUGGAGUUCGGCAGGGGAGACUGGAAUUCCUGGUGUAGCGGUGAAAUGCGCAGAUAUCAGGAAGAACACCCGUGGCGAAGGCGGCUCUCUGGGACGGUACUGACGCUGAGACGCGAAAGCGUGGGGAGCGAACAGG